RNAcentral lists this ribosomal RNA (327 nucleotides) under uncultured eukaryote. RNAcentral describes it as "partial 18S ribosomal RNA". It matches the Rfam family "Eukaryotic small subunit ribosomal RNA", at positions 1470 to 1796 of the family's 1831-position model. The record is from RNAcentral.
CCCUUAGAUGUUCUGGGCUGCACGCGCGCUACACUGACAUGUCCAGCGAGCUCCCAACCUGCUCGGCAAAGAAUGGGUACCCUUUUUAACGCAUGUCGUGAUGGGGAUAGAUUAUUGCAAUUGUUGAUCUUGAACGAGGAAUUCCUAGUAAGUGCAAGUCAUUAGCUUGUGCUGAAUACGUCCCUGCCCUUUGUACACACCGCCCGUCGCUCCUACCGAUUGAGUGCUCCGGUGAAUGUUUUGGAUCGGCUUCAAGUUGGUUCGCGCCUCUUGCUUGCUGUGAAAUCAUGUAAACCUUAUUGCUUAGAGGAAGGAGAAGUCGUAACA